AUACGGAGGGUGCAAGCGUUACUCGGAAUCACUGGGCGUAAAGCGCGCGCAGGCGGGUUGGCAAGUCAGAUGUGAAAUCCUACAGCUUAACUGUAGAACUGCAUUUGAAACUGCUAACCUAGAGUAUGGGAGGGGGAGAUGGAAUUAGUGGUGUAGGGGUAAAAUCCGUAGAUAUCACUAGGAAUACCGAAAGCGAAGGCGAUCUCCUGGAACAUAACUGACGCUAAGGCGUGAAAGCGUGGGGAGCAAACAGGAUUAGAUACCCUAGUAGUCC
Molecule: ribosomal RNA, 274 nt
Filed under: uncultured bacterium
Lineage: Bacteria
Description: partial 16S ribosomal RNA
Rfam family: Bacterial small subunit ribosomal RNA
Source: RNAcentral